This 857-nucleotide ribosomal RNA is filed under the name uncultured bacterium. RNAcentral describes it as "bacterial SSU rRNA". It matches the Rfam family "Bacterial small subunit ribosomal RNA", at positions 63 to 919 of the family's 1533-position model. The record is from RNAcentral.
CGAGGGGCAGCACAGGUAGCAAUACUGGGUGGCGACCGGCAAACGGGUGCGGAACACGUACGUAACCUUCCUUUAAGUGGGAGAUAGCCCGAAGAAAUUCGGAUUAAUACCCCAUAAGAUUGUGGAGUGGCAUCACUCAGCAAUUAAAGAAUUUCGCUUAAAGAUGGGCGUGCGGCUGAUUAGGUAGUUGGUGAGGUAACGGCUCACCAAGCCAACGAUCAGUAACUGGCGUGAGAGCGCGACCAGUCACACGGGCACUGAGACACGGGCCCGACUCCUACGGGAGGCAGCAGUAAGGAAUAUUGGUCAAUGGACGCAAGUCUGAACCAGCCAUGCCGCGUGAAGGAUGAAGGUCCUCUGGAUUGUAAACUUCUUUUAUAUGGGAAGAAACCACUUUUUUCUAAAGGUGUUGACGGUACCAUAGGAAUAAGCACCGGCUAACUCCGUGCCAGCAGCCGCGGUAAUACGGAGGGUGCAAGCGUUAUCCGGAUUCACUGGGUUUAAAGGGUGCGUAGGCGGAUUAGUAAGUCCGUGGUGAAAUCUCCGAGCUUAACUCGGAAACUGCCGUGGAUACUAUUAAUCUUGAAUACUGUGGAGGUUAGCGGAAUAUGUCAUGUAGCGGUGAAAUGCAUAGAUAUGACAUAGAACACCAAUUGCGAAGGCAGCUGGCUACACAGAGAUUGACGCUGAGGCACGAAAGCGUGGGGAUCAAACAGGAUUAGAUACCCUGGUAGUCCACGCCCUAAACGAUGAUUACUCGACAUUUGCGAUAUACAGUAAGUGUCUGAGCGAAAGCAUUAAGUAAUCCACCUGGGAAGUACGACCGCAAGGUUGAAACUCAAAGGAAUUGACGGGGG